UAGAGGAAACCAAAGAAAGGAGACACGUGGUCUGAAAUUAAUACAGCUGGUGAAGUCAGACUUAAAGCAGGUUCAUUUAUUUACAGUUGACUUGAAUAACUGAAACAUGGAUUUUAUAAUUAGAAUGUCUUGGAAAAAGCAACCUAAUUUACAGGUGGACACAAAAAGUACAUAAGAAAACCUCUCAGAUAUUAUAGGCUUUGAUUGCAGUGUGAAUGGCUGACUUGAAACUGACAUCAACUACUUCUUGGGGAAGACAGCUCAACACAAAAAGGAUGUUUGUGAUCUGGAACUGAAUCUUCAAUAUCUCCAAGCAGGUAGAGCAUGGUUAAAUAAUGAGCUAUUCCCAGGUGGCACAUCAGCAAGGGUUGCACACUCAAGAUGAGUUUGAUGCUGAUUUCCAUUAUAUUCCACAGACCUCAACACAGGUGGCCGUUCUUCCUCUUCCUAAGUCAGAAAAUUUG
This 464-nucleotide long non-coding RNA is filed under the name Homo sapiens (human). Its description in RNAcentral is "HSALNT0351114". Lineage: Eukaryota; Metazoa; Chordata; Mammalia; Primates; Hominidae. The record is from RNAcentral.